Molecule: long non-coding RNA, 796 nt
Organism: Canis lupus familiaris (dog)
Lineage: Eukaryota; Metazoa; Chordata; Mammalia; Carnivora; Canidae
Exons: 3
Source: RefSeq, a predicted model, not a curated record
UAAGGUAGGUCGUCUUAUCAGACUGGCUUCUUUCACUUAGUAAGAGAAGAGUCAUUUGUGUCUUGUUAUGGCUUGAUACUUCAUUUAUUUUUAUUGUUGAAUGAUAUCCGUCGUAUAGAUGUAUUACAAUUUCUUUACUCGUUCACCUAUUUUAGAAUGUCUCGAUUGCUUCCAGUUUGUGGAGCUAAUGAAUGAAGCUGCUGAUAAUAAGUUUAUGUGUGAACAGAAGUCUUCAUCAGUUGGGUAAAUACCUGGGAACUCAAUUUACCACAUCAUAUGAUAAGACUCUAUUUAGCCUUGUAAGAAAUUUGUGAAACUGUCCUGCAAAGGGACUGGGCAUUCUGCAGUCCUCGCUCCAACACAUGGGACUUCUGCUGUCCCAGUCUCCCAGCUUCCGGUGACGUCAGCGUGGGAAUUAUAGCCACUCUGACAGGAGGGACGGCCUGCUGUGUGUGUUUGAACUGCUGUCACUGUGUUCUAGGCUCUGUCCUCAAUAUUAUAUCAUCAGAUACCCAGGGCUGGUGCUGUAUCCACUUCCUGACCUCUAGAGAGAAAUAUAGAGCCGCUGGAAACAUCAGAUGUACAAAUAAUUUACAUAAACAGUCACCUGAGUCUUAAACAAUAACAGCACGUCGAUGAUGAAUGGACUCAAAUACACUUGGGGGGAAUAUGUAUGAAGAACAUGAAGUGAAGCUCCCAAGCUUAUGGGGAGACCUAGUGAUUAGCCACAGUUAUUUCCAUAAAGGGAUUUUUUCUUUUUAAAGAAAGACAUGUUUUCAUUCUGGCAAAAAUAAAA